Molecule: ribosomal RNA, 495 nt
Filed under: uncultured bacterium
Lineage: Bacteria
Description: partial 16S ribosomal RNA
Rfam family: Bacterial small subunit ribosomal RNA
Source: RNAcentral
GACGAACGCUGGCGGCGUGCCUAAUACAUGCAAGUAGAACGCUGAAGGAGGAGCUUGCUUCUCUGGAUGAGUUGCGAACGGGUGAGUAACGCGUAGGUAACCUGCCUGGUAGCGGGGGAUAACUAUUGGAAACGAUAGCUAAUACCGCAUAAUAGCAGUUAUUGCAUGAUAACUGUUUGAAAGGUGCAAUUGCACCACUACCAGAUGGACCUGCGUUGUAUUAGCUAGUUGGUGGGGUAACGGCUCACCAAGGCGACGAUACAUAGCCGACCUGAGAGGGUGAUCGGCCACACUGGGACUGAGACCCGGCCCAGACUCCUACGGGAGGCAGCAGUAGGGAAUCUUCGGCAAUGGACGGAAGUCUGACCGAGCAACGCCGCGUGAGUGAAGAAGGUUGUCGGAUCGUAAAGCUCGGUUGUAAGAGAAGAACGAGUGUGAGAGUGGAAAGUUCACACUGUGACGGUAUCUUACCAGAAAGGGACGGCUAACUACGUG